This 77-nucleotide transfer RNA is filed under the name Candidatus Omnitrophota bacterium. Its description in RNAcentral is "tRNA-Arg". It matches the Rfam family "tRNA". Rfam says of the family: Transfer RNA (tRNA) molecules are approximately 80 nucleotides in length. Their secondary structure includes four short double-helical elements and three loops (D, anti-codon, and T loops). Lineage: Bacteria; Pseudomonadati; Candidatus Omnitrophota. The record is from RNAcentral.
GCGCCUGUAGCUCAACAGGAUAGAGCAACUGCCUUCUAAGCAGUGGGUUGGCUGUUCGAUUCAGCCCAGGCGCACCA